ACGGCGAGUGAGCGGGAAGAGCUCAAAUUUGAAAUCUAGUAGCCUUCGGCUGCUCGAGUUGUAAUCUAGAGAAGUGUUUUCCGUGCCGGCCCAUGUACAAGUCCCUUGGAACAGGGCGUCAUAGAGGGUGAGAAUCCCGUCCUUGACAUGGACCCCCGGUGCUCUGUGAUACACUUUCAACGAGUCGAGUUGUUUGGGAAUGCAGCUCAAAAUGGGUGGUGAAUUCCAUCUAAAGCUAAAUAUUGGCGAGAGACCGAUAGCGAACAAGUACCGUGAGGGAAAGAUGAAAAGCACUUUGGAAAGAGAGUUAAACAGUACGUGAAAUUGUUGAAAGGGAAACGAUUGAAGUCAGUCAUGCUCUUUGGUAUUUAUAUCAUUGAGUGGGGUCAACAUCAGUUUUGAGCGAUGGAUAAAGGCACUAGGAAGGUAGCACUCUCGGGUGAACUUAUAGCCUAGCGUCAUAUACAUUGUUUGGGACUGAGGAACGCAGCAUGCCUUUAUGGCCGGGAUUCGUCCACGUACAUGCUUAGGAUGUUGACAUAAUGGCUUUAAACGACCCGUCUUG
Molecule: ribosomal RNA, 565 nt
Filed under: Naganishia diffluens
Lineage: Eukaryota; Fungi; Basidiomycota; Tremellomycetes; Filobasidiales; Filobasidiaceae
Description: eukaryotic LSU rRNA
Rfam family: Eukaryotic large subunit ribosomal RNA
Source: RNAcentral